RNAcentral lists this unclassified non-coding RNA (324 nucleotides) under soil metagenome. RNAcentral describes it as "partial contains 5.8S ribosomal RNA, internal transcribed spacer 2, and large subunit ribosomal RNA". The stretch from base 1 to 120 matches the Rfam family "5.8S ribosomal RNA", at positions 35 to 154 of the family's 154-position model. The record is from RNAcentral.
GAUGAAGAACGCAGCGAAACGCGAUAAGUAGUGUGAAUUGCAGAAUUCAGUGAAUCAUCGAAUCUUUGAACGCACAUUGCGCCCCUUGGUAUUCCAUGGGGCAUGCCUGUUCGAGCGUCAUUUGUACCUUCAAGCUUUGCUUGGUGUUGGGUGUUUGUCCUGAGGGACUCGCCUUAAAGUAAUUGGCAGCCAGUGUUUUGGUUUUGAAGCGCAGCACAAGUCGCGAUUCAAAGCUAUACGCCAGCUUCCACAAGCCUUUUUCACUUUUGACCUCGGAUCAGGUAGGGAUACCCGCUGAACUUAAGCAUAUCAAUAAGCGGAGGA